RNAcentral lists this ribosomal RNA (253 nucleotides) under uncultured bacterium. RNAcentral's name for it is "partial 16S ribosomal RNA". It matches the Rfam family "Bacterial small subunit ribosomal RNA", at positions 524 to 776 of the family's 1533-position model. The record is from RNAcentral.
UACAGAGGAUGCAAGCGUUAUCCGGAAUGAUUGGGCGUAAAGCGUCUGUAGGUGGCUUUUUAAGUCCGCCGUCAAAUCCCAGGGCUCAACUCUGGACAGGCGGUGGAAACUACCAAGCUGGAGUACGGUAGGGGCAGAUGGAAUUCCGGGUGUAGCGGUGGAAUGCGUAGAGAUCCGGAAGAACACCGGUGGCGAAGGCGGUCUGCUGGGCAGUAGCUGACACUGAGGCGCGACAGCGUGGGGAGCAAACAGG